Molecule: ribosomal RNA, 1346 nt
Filed under: uncultured bacterium
Lineage: Bacteria
Description: partial 16S ribosomal RNA
Rfam family: Bacterial small subunit ribosomal RNA
Source: RNAcentral
GACGAACGCUGGCGGCGUGCUUAACACAUGCAAGUCGAACGGAAAGGCCCUGCUUUUGUGGGGUGCUCGAGUGGCGAACGGGUGAGUAACACGUGAGUAACCUGCCCUUGACUUUGGGAUAACUUCAGGAAACUGGGGCUAAUACCGGAUAGGAGCUCCUGCUGCAUGGUGGGGGUUGGAAAGUUUCGGCGGUUGGGGAUGGACUCGCGGCUUAUCAGCUUGUUGGUGGGGUAGUGGCUUACCAAGGCUUUGACGGGUAGCCGGCCUGAGAGGGUGACCGGCCACAUUGGGACUGAGAUACGGCCCAGACUCCUACGGGAGGCAGCAGUGGGGAAUAUUGCACAAUGGGCGGAAGCCUGAUGCAGCAACGCCGCGUGCGGGAUGACGGCCUUCGGGUUGUAAACCGCUUUCGCCUGUGACGAAGCGUGAGUGACGGUAAUGGGUAAAGAAGCACCGGCUAACUACGUGCCAGCAGCCGCGGUGAUACGUAGGGUGCGAGCGUUGUCCGGAUUUAUUGGGCGUAAAGGGCUCGUAGGUGGUUGAUCGCGUCGGAAGUGUAAUCUUGGGGCUUAACCCUGAGCGUGCUUUCGAUACGGGUUGACUUGAGGAAGGUAGGGGAGAAUGGAAUUCCUGGUGGAGCGGUGGAAUGCGCAGAUAUCAGGAGGAACACCAGUGGCGAAGGCGGUUCUCUGGGCCUUUCCUGACGCUGAGGAGCGAAAGCGUGGGGAGCGAACAGGCUUAGAUACCCUGGUAGUCCGCGCUGUAAACGGUGGGUACUAGGUGUGGGGUCCAUUCCACGGGUUCCGUGCCGUAGCUAACGCUUUAAGUACCCCGCCUGGGGAGUACGGCCGCAAGGCUAAAACUCAAAGGAAUUGACGGGGCCCCGCACAAGCGGCGGAGCAUGCGGAUUAAUUCGAUGCAACGCGUAGAACCUUACCUGGGUUUGACAUGGAUCGGGAGUGCUCAGAGAUGGGUGUGCCUCUUUUGGGGUCGGUUCACAGGUGGUGCAUGGCUGUCGUCAGCUCGUGUCGUGAGAUGUUGGGUUAAGUCCCGCAACGAGCGCAACCCUUGUUCACUGUUGCCAGCACGUUAUGGUGGGGACUCAGUGGAGACCGCCGGGGUCAACUCGGAGGAAGGUGGGGAUGACGUCAAGUCAUCAUGCCCCUUAUGUCCAGGGCUUCACGCAUGCUACAAUGGCUGGUACAGAGAGUGGCGAGCCUGUGAGGGUGAGCGAAUCUCGGAAAGUCGGUCUCAGUUCGGAUUGGGGUCUGCAACUCGACCUCAUGAAGUCGGAGUCGCUAGUAAUCGCAGAUCAGCAACGCUGCGGUGAAUACGUUCCCGGGGCU